GGAAACUGAGGGUAAUAGUGUAUACCAUACCACCACUGGAAUGAGUGGUAUGCCAAACGCUCCGGCGCCRAAGGAUGUGGCUGCGGCCGAUUAGGUAGACGGUGGGGUAACGGCCCACCGUGCCAAUAAUCGGUAUGGGUCAUGAGAGUGAGAACCCAGAGACGGAAUCUGAGACAAGAUUCCGGGCCCUACGGGGCGCAGCAGGCGCGAAACCUUUACACUGCACGACAGUGCGAUAGGGGGAUMCCAAGUGCACAGGCAUAGCGCCUGUGCUUUUCGGUACCGUAAGGUGGUACCAGAAUAAGGGCUGGGCAAGACCGGUGCCAGCCGCCGCGGUAAUACCGGCAGCCCAAGUGAUGGCCGAUCUUAUUGGGCCUAAAGCGUCCGUAGCUGGCCGCGCAAGUCCAUCGGGAAAUCCACCUGCUCAACAGGUGGGCGCCCGGUAGAAACUGCGUGGCUUGGGACCGGAAGGCGCGACGGGUACGUCCGGGGUAGGAGUGAAAUCCCGUAAUCCUGGACGGACCGCCGAUGGCGAAAGCACGUCGCGAGGACGGAUCCGACAGUGAGGGACGAAAGCCAGGGUCUCGAACCGGAUUAGAUACCCGGGUAGUCCUGGCCGUAAACAAUGUCUGCUAGGUGUGGCUCCCACUACGAGUGGGUGCUGUGCCGUAGGGAAGCCGCUAAGCAGACCGCCUGGGAAGUACGUCCGCAAGGAUGAAACUUAAAGGAAUUGGCGGGGGAGCACUACAACCGGAGGAGCCUGCGGUUUAAUUGGACUCAACGCCGGACAUCUCACCAGCAUCGACUGUAAUAAUGACGACCAGGUUGAUGACCUUGUCCGAGUUUCAGAGAGGAGGUGCAUGGCCGCCGUCAGCUCGUACCGUGAGGCGUCCUGUUAAGUCAGGCAACGAGCGAGACCCGCACCCUUACUUGCCAGCAGUACCGCGAGGUAGUUGGGGACAGUAGGGGGACCGCCGUGGCUAACACGGAGGAAGGAACGGGCAACGGUAGGUCAGUAUGCCCCGACUGUGCUGGGCAACACGCGGGCUACAAUGGUCGAGACAAAGGGUUCCAACUCCGAAAGGAGACGGUAAUCUCAGAAACUCGAUCGUAGUUCGGAUUGUGGGCUGCAACUCGCCCACAUGAAGCUGGAUUCGGUAGUAAUCGCGUGUCACAAGCGCGCGGUGAAUACGUUCCCUGCUCCUUGG
Molecule: ribosomal RNA, 1208 nt
Filed under: Halorubrum sp. Ez5-2
Lineage: Archaea; Methanobacteriati; Methanobacteriota; Halobacteria; Halobacteriales; Haloferacaceae
Description: bacterial SSU rRNA
Rfam family: Archaeal small subunit ribosomal RNA
Source: RNAcentral